CCUACGGGCGGCAGCAGUGGGGAAUAUUGCACAAUGGGGGAAACCCUGAUGCAGCGACGCCGCGUGAGUGAAGAAGUAUUUCGGUAUGUAAAGCUCUAUUAGCAGGGAAGAAAUAGCGACCUUUGGGUCGCCUGCCGGUACCUGACUUAGAAGCCCCGGCUAACUACGUGCCCGCAGCCGCGGUAAUCCGUAGGGGGCAAGCGUUAUCCGGGUUUACUGGGUGUAAAGGGAGCGUAGACGGCAGGACAAGUCUGAAGUGAAAUGCCGGGGCUUAACCCCGGAACUGCUUUGGAAACUGUGCAGCUAGAGUGCAGGAGAGGUAAGUGGAAUGCCUAGUGUAGCGGUGAAAUGCGUAGAUAUUAGGAAGAACACCAGUGGCGAAGGCGGCUUACUGGACUGUAACUGACGUUGAGGCUCGAAAGCGUGGGGAGCAAACAGGAUUAGAUACCCGAGUAGUC
RNAcentral lists this ribosomal RNA (458 nucleotides) under uncultured bacterium. RNAcentral's name for it is "partial 16S ribosomal RNA". It matches the Rfam family "Bacterial small subunit ribosomal RNA", at positions 338 to 795 of the family's 1533-position model. The record is from RNAcentral.